Sarcophilus harrisii (Tasmanian devil) is the source of this 69-nucleotide non-coding RNA. The record is from Rfam. NCBI's taxonomy places the organism in Eukaryota, Metazoa, Chordata, Mammalia, Dasyuromorphia, Dasyuridae.
GCAAAUAUAGUUCAACAAAAACAUUAGAUUAUGAAUCUAAAUUUAGAAGUUUAAAUCUCCUUGUAUGCC